AAAAACAUGUCUUUUUGAUUAUAAUUUAAAGUCUAAUCUGCUCAAUGAGGAUUUAAAUUGCCGCGGUAUUUUGACCGUGCAAAGGUAGCAUAAUAAUUAGUUUUUUAAUUGAAAGCUGGAAUGAAUGAUUGGACGAGAUGGUAGCUGUCUCUAUAAAAUUUAUAUUUAAAUUUAACUUUUGAGUUAAAAGGCUCAAAUAUUUUUCAAAGACGAGAAGACCCUAUAGAGUUUAACAGUUUUAGGAUUGUUUAGUUUGUUGGAAUAUUAGAAUCUUUUAAUCUGAUGAUUGUUUAGUUGGGGUGACUUGAAGAUAAAAUUAACUCUUCUAGAAUUAUAAUCAUUGAUUUGUGAAUUUUGAAUCUGGGUUUCAUAAAUAUAAGAUAAAUUACCUUAGGGAUAACAGCGUAAUUUCUUUUUAGAGUUCUUAUUGGAAAAGAAGAUUGCGACCUCGAUGUUGGAUUAAAAUUAAUAUUUGGUGUAGCAGCUGAAUUAUUAGGUCUGUUCGACCUUUAAAUUUUUACAUGAUCUGA
RNAcentral lists this ribosomal RNA (530 nucleotides) under Pectocera babai. Its description in RNAcentral is "partial 16S ribosomal RNA". It matches the Rfam family "Archaeal large subunit ribosomal RNA", at positions 1901 to 2677 of the family's 2987-position model. The record is from RNAcentral. Lineage: Eukaryota; Metazoa; Arthropoda; Insecta; Coleoptera; Elateridae.